Molecule: long non-coding RNA, 1455 nt
Organism: Cynocephalus volans (Philippine flying lemur)
Lineage: Eukaryota; Metazoa; Chordata; Mammalia; Dermoptera; Cynocephalidae
Exons: 3
Source: RefSeq, a predicted model, not a curated record
GAUUGCCAAUGGUUGAUAUGACUUCCAGAAAGCAGCAAGGGAAUGCUCUAGCCUCCUACAGCCUCAACUCCAGAUGAUAAGUAUUUUUAAAUUGAAUAUUAGUAUACUUUUGCUUUAGUCGUUCCGCUUUACAGAUUUAUCUCCUUAAAACAGAGAGAGCGGCCGCUGACCCACACAGUUCCCAUGGGUCGAGCUGGAGGGACGCCAAGAGCCGGCUCGUCCGACCCCUCGCGUACAGAUGGGGAAACUGAGGCCGGGGAGAGACAAGGCCCCGGGAUUCGUCAGAGGAAGCGCGACCCGGGGUCCCCGUCACCGCAUCAGAGGCGCACGGGGCUGACCCACACGGCUCAGGCCGUCCUUGCCGUGAAGGGGACGCUGAGGGGUCCGGUCCGCGGCGCCCCACACUCACCCGGCUUACGCUUCAGCGCCAUCAGGGACACUAGAUAGUGGGCGAUGUCAAAAAAGGGGAACAUGGACGUGCGGGAGAAGGCCAGAGCCAGCUCAUCCCACGGAAAAUCCAUGGCGACUACCGACCGCGGCGGCCGAGACAGCCGCGGUGACCGAGACAGCCGCGGUGACCGGUUCCCCGCGUGCGCGCCAUUUCACCAGCACAUCUAUCCUUCUCAAUUUCCGUAAAUGGACCUUCUUUCCUCCUGGAGCCUACAGCCUGCAGCCUCUCAGAGAGGGAGAUACUGCAAGGUUGUUUUCAGAAACUCUGAAGCCUGGGGAAGAAAUUUAGUCUGAGGAGGCAGAUAGAAAAAUGGUUUCUAUCUGCUAGAAGCCAAGAGGCCUGACUUUCCUGGAGGGCCAUCUGCAACACCGCUGCCUGGAAAGAGACACAGCUGUUAACCAUUUAACUGAACUGGCCUAUUUGCAGGACUGAGAGACUGGUUCAAUGGCUGAUGAGUCAAUCCACCCAUCCAGGUUCUGGACUGUGCAACUUCUUGGGGAAGUUUCAGACUGGGAAUGUGGGGGCUUAGAUAACAAUAACCCAAAAUACAGGUCUCAGAAGCAAAGUUUCUCUCAGACAUCUCCUGCCCUCCUGUCUUUCAGCCUCAUUCUCCGCAGAAGCAUGCCAUGGAAACUAGAAUCCCUCUUCCCCAAGGCAGGUCAUAGAAACCAGAACCCCUUUUCUCCAAAGCCAGCCAUAAGCCUAAAAAUAUUACUCAAAACCUUCCACUGCCUUUCUGUGUAACAGUCUGCCAUAAAGAAAUUAAGACCGUCGUUCCAGAGGGGCCCUGCCCCAUUUCCAGGAGGAAGGAAUGCUGCACAGAGAAGCCAAGAAGAAUCUGAACGAACAGGCCCUGCUGGGUUUCCCCACCUAGCCUAUUAGCAUUAGAUCAUACCCUUUCUGUCCGAUCGCAUUUCUACAGGGCUGUCCAUUCUUCACUGAACCUAAGCAUAAAAAUGGAUAGUUUUCCCUGUAUCUUUGGGUCUUCAUUCUGAAGGCUCCCA